Molecule: long non-coding RNA, 2376 nt
Organism: Gasterosteus aculeatus aculeatus (three-spined stickleback)
Lineage: Eukaryota; Metazoa; Chordata; Actinopteri; Perciformes; Gasterosteidae
Source: Ensembl
CUGAGCUUACGUUUCCUCAUUUAAAUGGGAGAUUUUCCCAAAACUGACAAAUCUCCCCACACUUCCAUAUCUCACUCUGCAUUUGUUUGUGCUUUAAUUUAGCUGCACUAGCACCACUGUCCUGGGGCCACUGCAAAAUCAAAACAAAUGACGUAUACAGUAGUUUCUCUCUCUCUCUCUUUCUCGAUCUCUCUCAAGCCUCUCUGACAGCCCCUCCCAGCUGAAGGCAAUCCAACAAUGUCCUGCUCAUUGAUCAGAGAGCCGAUCGGUGCGCGGUGGAGGUAAAUGGCUGUCAUGUGAAUGAUGGACCUUAACUCAGCCAUGGUUGCUCCUGAGGCCACUCAGCCUCCACUUAUAGUGAUGGAUGCAACAAUGUCGCCCAUCCCAUUCUUGAGGGUGGGGAUGACUUUGGGCCAUCGCUACCGGAGUCGGAAACAAUUAACACAAAACAUUGGAUUUAGAAAUCAAAAAAAAAAAGAAGGUUUGGAUAGACUAAGAAGACAUGCGUUUUCAGAGGUUGAGUAGGGCUCCUCAUCAAGAAGAAUAAUUGUUGCGCUAAAUACAGUGUGGAGUCCACAAACAUUGGCAACAGGUCAGCAGGAUGACCUACUAGACUGAAACAGCUGUGUGUACAAAGCUUCUGCCAGCCAAAAGGUUUGCUCGCAUAGUCUCAGCAUUUGGCAGUCUACCAGCUCUGGGAAAUAUUCAUCAAAUUAUGAGCUCUUAUCCAUCAUUAGGCUGGGCUGUAAACGACCGGGAGUAAAUAAAUCACAGCUGAACAAACUGCAGGCAGUUAAAACGGUGAACAAGGUGUUUGAACAAAGCAGAGUACUUUAAGCCUGUUUGUGGGAGGUUUUGGGAUUGUAGGACCCCUCCACCCUCAGUGGCCGAGGUCUUAUUUAACCAUAGUAUCACAAAGAAAUUAGGAAAUGAAUGCAGGGAAAAUACAAAGUCACAGGCACUCUCAAUUAAAAUCCUAGAUGAUGAUUCAGCGGCAUGUAAAGGCUGAGUUCUGUAGUUUCCAAAAAUGUGCUCCUUCGAGGUGGAUGUAUAAAGAGACACAGUGACGGAGGCAAGGCCCUGUUCAUUCCUUUGAAGGCCGCAUACUAAAGAACAUUUUAAAAAAAAGUUUGACUUAAAGAUAGGGCGGUAUGGUGGCAACACUAGCAAACACAACAGCUAACAUGCUAAGAAGCUAACAUGCCGGCCAGUUGCAGCUGUUGAACAGCUGUUUGGGUGGCUGGUGGUCCUUUUCGGGGUUAAAGUGUUAUGUUGUGUUAUGUUAAAAAAAAAUAUUGUGAUACACCGGGAUACCGACAGAAUCUGGCAGAAUACCGUAACAUUUUGAUUAAAUUACUCGGAUCAUCCGGCCAUCACCUCAUCCGGUGGCCCCUGAGCACAAGUGUGCUAGGUUUUCCUCUCCUUAACCCGCCUCCAGGCCGGCACUCAAGCCUCCAUUGUUCUAGUUCAUAUGCGAGGGAGGGGGGGCAUGGCUAUUUUCUGGAUCAGGGCUAUCAAGCGUUCGUACUAGGAAAAAUCGCUGUUGAUGUCUCUUUCUAAGUCAAUGGUAAAGGGCAUGUUUAAUGGAUUAAGUAGGCCAGGAAGUUGUAAUAGCUUCAAAGCCGGGUGCUGUUCUUGGUGGCUUGGCUCUUUCUCAGAAAAAAAGACAUUCUCUUUGCCCCCCCCAUCUUAUCUUAGAAACAAAUGGAUUAGUGGUUAGUUCCAGAAAAAAAAAGGUUUUGGAUCCCGAGCCUCGUUUACCCCUAUCCAAACCAUAUCAAAGGGUUUUUUCAACAGUGAAUCAAUGCAAAUCCUGAGCUUCAAAUGAAAGGAGGUUUUAAUAACGACAGUUAACAUUAUUCCUUCAGAGCGGGUUUCAAUCAAUCAAUUUUCUUUGUGUUUUUAAUUUGAAAGGUGGCUGGACGUUGUUGUCCCGUGUUGUUGUCCCGUUGUUGAUCGUAGUGGGUGUUCGUCCUGGGUGCAUCAGACAAUGAAGGGGAAUGAUUUUCAGAGAGCUGUCAGGCUUUCAUCAGCAUAUAAAGGAAGAGGGAAGAUGUUCACCUCGAGACCGGACGGUAUCAUUCACAACAGCAAUAAAUACCCAAAUAAUUCACCACGUUUUUUACUUUUGCUUAAAACCCUAAACUAAGAUCCUAAGAAAAUGAAGCAUUGCUGCAAAAAAAAGGUUGAUCCAAUUAUUUUUAAAAGGUGGCUUCACAAGCUAUUUCAAGCACUUUCAGAUGCACUGCACAGUGCGCAUCAAGAUGGAGCUCGCUCAUCUGUCUGAAAGCUUCUGAAAAAUCUAGUUAGUACAUUUGAGUUAAGAUGUUUACACUACAGCUGAAUGCAAUAGCACAUUUCCUUCUCAAGCCUUCA